CACACACACACAGCAGUGUGUGUAUGUGUGUUGUGUAUAUAUGUGUAUGUAUAUAUAUAUAUAUAUAUAUAUAUAUAUAUAUAUAUACAUACAUACAUACAUAUAUAUAUGCGGCGUGUGCUUG
Molecule: microRNA precursor, 124 nt
Filed under: Pelobates cultripes (western spadefoot toad)
Lineage: Eukaryota; Metazoa; Chordata; Amphibia; Anura; Pelobatidae
Source: RNAcentral